Molecule: ribosomal RNA, 254 nt
Filed under: uncultured bacterium
Lineage: Bacteria
Description: partial 16S ribosomal RNA
Rfam family: Bacterial small subunit ribosomal RNA
Source: RNAcentral
UACAGAGGGUGCGAGCGUUGUCCGGAAUUAUUGGGCGUAAAGAGCUCGUAGGCGGUUUGUCGCGUCUGCUGUGAAAACCCGAGGCUCAACCUCGGGCCUGCAGUGGGUACGGGCAGACUAGAGUGCGGUAGGGGGAGAUUGGAAUUCCUGGUGUAGCGGUGGAAUGCGCAGAUAUCAGGAGGAACACCAAUGGCGAAGGCAGAUCUCUGGGCCGUAACUGACGCUGAGGAGCGAAAGCGUGGGGAGCGAACAGG